This 255-nucleotide ribosomal RNA is filed under the name uncultured bacterium. RNAcentral describes it as "partial 16S ribosomal RNA". It matches the Rfam family "Bacterial small subunit ribosomal RNA", at positions 524 to 776 of the family's 1533-position model. The record is from RNAcentral.
UACGUAGGGUGCGAGCGUUGUCCGGAAUUAUUGGGCGUAAAGAGCUUGUAGGUGGCUCGUUGCGUCGGGAGUGAAAACCUGCGGCUUAACCGCAGGCCUGCUUCCGAUACGGGCGAGCUAGAGUUCGGCAGGGGAGACUGGAAUUCCUGGUGUAGCGGUGGAAUGCGCAGAGUAUCAGGAGGAACACCGGUGGCGAAGGCGGGUCUCUGGGCCGAUGACUGACACUGAGAAGCGAAAGCGUGGGGAGCGAACAGG